RNAcentral lists this unclassified non-coding RNA (196 nucleotides) under uncultured fungus. Its description in RNAcentral is "sequence contains ITS1". Lineage: Eukaryota; Fungi. The record is from RNAcentral.
GUAUAGAUUUCAUAUUCCACAACAUUCUAUUGACAUACAUUGGGGUAAAUGAAGCAACAUAGACCUGAAAGGCCUACAAAAAGUGCACAGGUGGAGAUAUAAAGAUGACAAGGCGUGCACAUGCUCCCUAGAGAACCAGCAACAACCCAUCAGGUUUAUUUCAAUAAUGAUCCUUCCGCAGGUUCACCUACGGAAA